AUUGAACGCUGGCGGCAGGCCUAACACAUGCAAGUCGAGCGGAUGAAGGGAGCUUACUCCUGGAUUCAGCGGCGGACGGGUGAGUAAUGCCUAGGAAUCUGCCUGGUAGUGGGGGAUAACGUCCGGAAACGGGCGCUAAUACCGCAUACGUCCUUAGGGAGAAAGUGGGGGAUCUUCGGACCUCACGCUAUCAGAUGAGCCUAGGUCGGAUUAGCUAGUUGGUGGGGUAAAGGCCUACCAAGGCGACGAUCCGUAACUGGUCUGAGAGGAUGAUCAGUCACACUGGAACUGAGACACGGUCCAGACUCCUACGGGAGGCAGCAGUGGGGAAUAUUGGACAAUGGGCGAAAGCCUGAUCCAGCCAUGCCGCGUGUGUGAAGAAGGUCUUCGGAUUGUAAAGCACUUUAAGUUGGGAGGAAGGGCAGUAAGUUAAUACCUUGCUGUUUUGACGUUACCAACAGAAUAAGCACCGGCUAACUUCGUG
Molecule: ribosomal RNA, 484 nt
Filed under: uncultured bacterium
Lineage: Bacteria
Description: partial 16S ribosomal RNA
Rfam family: Bacterial small subunit ribosomal RNA
Source: RNAcentral